GGGUAUAUAACUCAGUGGAUUAGAGUUUAUGGCUACGNACCAUAAAGUCGGGGGUUCGAAUCCCUCUAUACUCACCA
RNAcentral lists this transfer RNA (77 nucleotides) under Codium fragile. RNAcentral's name for it is "tRNA-Arg". It matches the Rfam family "tRNA". From Rfam's summary of the family: Transfer RNA (tRNA) molecules are approximately 80 nucleotides in length. Their secondary structure includes four short double-helical elements and three loops (D, anti-codon, and T loops). Further hydrogen bonds mediate the characteristic L-shaped molecular structure. tRNAs have two regions of fundamental functional importance: the anti-codon, which is responsible for specific mRNA codon recognition, and the 3' end, to which the tRNAs corresponding amino acid is attached (by aminoacyl-tRNA synthetases). tRNAs cope with the degeneracy of the genetic code in two manners: having more than one tRNA (with a specific anti-codon) for a particular amino acid; and 'wobble' base-pairing, i.e. permitting non-standard base-pairing at the 3rd anti-codon position. Lineage: Eukaryota; Viridiplantae; Chlorophyta; Ulvophyceae; Bryopsidales; Codiaceae. The record is from RNAcentral.